GACGAACGCUGGCGGCGUGCCUAAUACAUGCAAGUCGAGCGAGCGGAACUAACAGAUUUACUUCGGUAAUGACGUUAGGAAAGCGAGCGGCGGAUGGGUGAGUAACACGUGGGGAACCUGCCCCAUAGUCUGGGAUACCACUUGGAAACAGGUGCUAAUACCGGAUAAGAAAGCAGAUCGCAUGAUCAGCUUUUAAAAGGCGGCGUAAGCUGUCGCUAUGGGAUGGCCCCGCGGUGCAUUAGCUAGUUGGUAAGGUAAAGGCUUACCAAGGCGAUGAUGCAUAGCCGAGUUGAGAGACUGAUCGGCCACAUUGGGACUGAGACACGGCCCAAACUCCUACGGGAGGCAGCAGUAGGGAAUCUUCCACAAUGGACGCAAGUCUGAUGGAGCAACGCCGCGUGAGUGAAGAAGGUUUUCGGAUCGUAAAGCUCUGUUGUUGGUGAAGAAGGAUAGAGGUAGUAACUGGCCUUUAUUUGACGGUAAUCAACCAGAAAGUCACGGCUAACUACGUGCCAGCAGCCGCGGUAAUACGUAGGUGGCAAGCGUUGUCCGGAUUUAUUGGGCGUAAAGCGAGCGCAGGCGGAAGAAUAAGUCUGAUGUGAAAGCCCUCGGCUUAACCGAGGAACUGCAUCGGAAACUGUUUUUCUUGAGUGCAGAAGAGGAGGGCGGAACUCCAUGUGUAGCGGUGGAAUGCGUAGAUAUAUGGAAGAACACCAGUGGCGAAGGCGGCUCUCUGGUCUGCAACUGACGCUGAGGCUCGAAAGCAUGGGUAGCGAACAGGAUUAGAUACCCUGGUAGUCCAUGCCGUAAACGAUGAGUGCUAAGUGUUGGGAGGUUUCCGCCUCUCAGUGCUGCAGCUAACGCAUUAAGCACUCCGCCUGGGGAGUACGACCGCAAGGUUGAAACUCAAAGGAAUUGACGGGGGCCCGCACAAGCGGUGGAGCAUGUGGUUUAAUUCGAAGCAACGCGAAGAACCUUACCAGGUCUUGACAUCUAGUGCCAUUUGUAGAGAUACAAAGUUCCCUUCGGGGACGCUAAGACAGGUGGUGCAUGGCUGUCGUCAGCUCGUGUCGUGAGAUGUUGGGUUAAGUCCCGCAACGAGCGCAACCCUUGUUAUUAGUUGCCAGCAUUAAGUUGGGCACUCUAAUGAGACUGCCGGUGACAAACCGGAGGAAGGUGGGGAUGACGUCAAGUCAUCAUGCCCCUUAUGACCUGGGCUACACACGUGCUACAAUGGGCAGUACAACGAGAAGCGAGCCUGCGAAGGCAAGCGAAUCUCUGAAAGCUGUUCUCAGUUCGGACUGCAGUCUGCAACUCGACUGCACGAAGCUGGAAUCGCUAGUAAUCGCGGAUCAGCACGCCGCGGUGAAUACGUUCCCGGGCCC
This 1385-nucleotide ribosomal RNA is filed under the name uncultured bacterium. RNAcentral's name for it is "bacterial SSU rRNA". It matches the Rfam family "Bacterial small subunit ribosomal RNA", at positions 28 to 1381 of the family's 1533-position model. The record is from RNAcentral.